This 253-nucleotide ribosomal RNA is filed under the name uncultured bacterium. RNAcentral describes it as "partial 16S ribosomal RNA". It matches the Rfam family "Bacterial small subunit ribosomal RNA", at positions 524 to 776 of the family's 1533-position model. The record is from RNAcentral.
UACGUAGGGCGCAAGCGUUGUCCGGAAUUAUUGGGCGUAAAGAGCUCGUAGGCGGUUUGUCGCGUCUGCUGUGAAAACUCGGGGCUUAACUCCGGGCCUGCAGUGGGUACGGGCAGACUAGAGUGCGGUAGGGGAGACUGGAAUUCCUGGUGUAGCGGUGAAAUGCGCAGAUAUCAGGAGGAACACCGGUGGCGAAGGCGGGUCUCUGGGCCGUAACUGACGCUGAGGAGCGAAAGCAUGGGGAGCGAACAGG